RNAcentral lists this ribosomal RNA (251 nucleotides) under uncultured prokaryote. RNAcentral's name for it is "partial 16S ribosomal RNA". It matches the Rfam family "Bacterial small subunit ribosomal RNA", at positions 525 to 775 of the family's 1533-position model. The record is from RNAcentral.
ACGUAGGAGGCAAGCGUUAUCCGGAUUUACUGGGCGUAAAGCGCGUGCAGGCGGUUUUUUAAGUCACUUGUGAAAGCGCCCGGCUCAACUGGGCGAGGCCGUGUGAGACUGAAAAACUGGCGAGAGGUAGAGGCGAAUGGAAUUCCGGGUGGAGUGGUGAAAUGCGUAGAGAUCCGGAGGAACCCCAGUGGCGAAGGCGACCUGCUCGGCCUUGCCUGACGCUCAGACGCGAAAGCAUGGGGAGCGAACGG